ACCAGAGUAGGAAACGGUGCGUUAAGUGUCCGGCAGACGGGGAGUUGCUGCCGGGACGAAAAAUUCAGGACAGUGUCCCGAAUUUGCGGUGCCGAUUCCGCAUCCCGCUGAA
This is a non-coding RNA of Ruminococcus sp. CAG:330, 112 nucleotides long. The record is from Rfam. Lineage: Bacteria; Bacillati; Bacillota; Clostridia; Eubacteriales; Oscillospiraceae.